ACGACGCUGGCGGCGUGCCUAACACAUGCAAGUCGAGCGGGGUCCAUCCGGUAGCAAUACCGGGGAAGACCUAGCGGCGAACGGGUGAGUAACACGUGAGAAACCUGCCCCGAAGUCUGGGAUAACCCGAGGAAACUCGAGCUAAUACCGGAUGUCUUCUUCUGAUCGCAUGGUCGGAUGAAGAAAGAUUUAUCGCUUCGGGAGGGUCUCGCGGCCUAUCAGCUAGUUGCGGGGUAACGGCCCACCAAGGCGUCGACGGGUAGCUGGUCUGAGAGGACGAUCAGCCACACUGGGACUGAGACACGGCCCAGACUCCUACGGGAGGCAGCAGUGGGGAAUAUUGCGCAAUGGGCGAAAGCCUGACGCAGCAACGCCGCGUGCGGGAUGAAGGCCUUCGGGUUGUAAACCGCUUUCAGUGGGGACGAAUUCAGACGGUACCCACAGAAGAAGCCCCGGCCAACUACGUG
RNAcentral lists this ribosomal RNA (467 nucleotides) under uncultured bacterium. Its description in RNAcentral is "bacterial SSU rRNA". It matches the Rfam family "Bacterial small subunit ribosomal RNA", at positions 33 to 507 of the family's 1533-position model. The record is from RNAcentral.